Molecule: small nuclear RNA, 107 nt
Filed under: Chinchilla lanigera (long-tailed chinchilla)
Lineage: Eukaryota; Metazoa; Chordata; Mammalia; Rodentia; Chinchillidae
Source: RNAcentral
GGGUUCGCUUCAGCAGCACAUAUUCUAAAAUUGGAGUGAUACAGAGAAGAUUAGCAUGGCCCCUGCACAAAGAUAACACACAAAUUGGCAAAGUGUUCCAUAUAGAA